AAAAUUAUAGUUUAAUUUAAAACAUUUAAUUUGCAUUUAAAAGAUAUAUUUAUUAAUUUUA
Molecule: transfer RNA, 61 nt
Filed under: Bragasellus peltatus
Lineage: Eukaryota; Metazoa; Arthropoda; Malacostraca; Isopoda; Asellidae
Description: transfert RNA-A(GCA)
Source: RNAcentral